Neodiprion fabricii is the source of this 3251-nucleotide long non-coding RNA. RefSeq lists it as uncharacterized. Lineage: Eukaryota; Metazoa; Arthropoda; Insecta; Hymenoptera; Diprionidae. The transcript is spliced from 3 exons. The record is from RefSeq and is a predicted model, not a curated record.
AAGCUCUGGAGCAUAACUCCCGGCUUUCGAGGUGGAGAUUCUGCGUUUUGUCGACAGGUUACGCCGGACCGCGGCAGCGAAAGCCUCGCGGAGAAAAACCGCGACCUCCGAAACUAAGUCCAUGUGCGCGAUACGUGGUCGCGAAUACGAAAAUCCCGGUCUACGUUUAAGCGGAAGUGGGGGAGGAGAAGGGGAAGCGGGGGUCGCGUAAGAGCAAAAACCGACCGUCAUUCCCUCGCGGAAAUUCCAUCCUUAAUCACCGAGAAUCUCGUCGCCGAUACAGCUCUGCCUGCGGAAACCGCGAUCAUGGGUAAGCAGAAAAAGCUGCCCGAAACAGUUGCUCCGCGGAGUGAAAAAGCGGCUCGUGUUUUCGCCCAUCUCGGUGGUGCUUGCGUGCUUUAAGCCGCGUUCGCAGGAGGCGGAGAGGAAAAAUGUGGGUCACUUUUGGAGCUGCCGGUCACUCGCUGAGAUGUGAGGAAUGAGGAAGUAAAAACAACAAAAAACAAAAAAAAAAAAAAACUUGAUUCAACCGGAAAACAUGAUCGAGAUUCGAGAAUACCUCGGAAAAUUCGACGAGCACUUCAACGACCGGAGAAUCGAAUGUUGCUGCAGGUAUUUCGGUGCGAGGGGUAAAGUGAACGUAGGAAGCUGCAAUCAAGACUCGUUUAGAGACGCCUUGACCUAGGCCCGCUUAUGUGUCACAUCUUGUACGACAGAAGCGACGCAAAUAUAUUCCCAUGGUUAAAAGGUGCGUGGUUGGUAGAAGAUACAUAUUUAUGUACAGAAAUAAGGUUGCACCGCGACGUUCUCGUGAAUUUAGAAUGAGAGAACGUCGGGGAUACGAUUCUUAAGGCUCGACCGGCGUUAUCAGCGCGUUAACACGUGUUCAAAUAGACCAAGUUUGGUACGGAGUUACGUAAUCGUGGCUUAAUAGGUGCUGCGUAGAAAAAACAAAAAGGAGAUAAAGAACAGAAACGUCGUCACACCGGGGAAGGCUUAAACGUUGCGAGGGAGGAGGAGGAAAAUUUGGAACACUAAGAUAAUUAUCAACCGAUAUGACGACGCCUGCAAGUGUCGUGAUAUUUUAACGAGCUCAACUUUGGCGAGCUCUUGGAAGGACAGAGACGGGAUACCGAUCAGUGUCUUGGGCUGUUGAAAUGAGGCAGACGGUCCGCUAGUGAAUUCGAUGGUUUAUUUUCAUUCGUAUUUCCUUACCCACCGCGAAAGUGAAUUAGAAAGUUUCCGAGGAAUAAUUGCUGCAGAGUUUUGAAAGGAGAAUAUAAGAAUAAGACGAAGAAAAAUAAGAGAAAAGGAACGAGUGGUUUAUUAAUUGAAACCGGUUUCUUCGUUGUUCAAAGUUGUUCUUGUUCUUCCUGUUCUCCUUAACUUCCGCAUCUUUUCCUCUUAUAAUUAUACCGCAGCGAUUUUUCACAGCGUAAUAGAAGAAAACAAAGAAAGAGAGAUAUUAUCGCCGUCGUAUCGUCGUCAGGAAAGGAGGCCACGAAGAAUAAGAAGAAGAAGAAGAAGAAGAAGAAGAAAACUCCGAGUGUUACAGUGUGCGAAAAUAGUGUCAUGAUUUGUGCGGUUAGAGUUUCGCCGAGUGUGUAAAAUAUACCGGGUCUCGUUUCAUCCGUUGAACGGGUUGCACCUAUUCACAGUUGUAACUAGCUCGGAACAAGUUCUUUCUUCCCCGUCACACAUUCCAUUCGCUUUUUCAUUCGUUUAUUUCCGCCGAGCGAACACCCCUGAAGAUGAACUAACUUUAACAAUGCCGGUUCCGAUGCAUUAACACUGCACGCCAACUAGGUUGGGAAGCAGAGGUCUGUUCUGUCCCGUCGAGUGUGAAGAUAGCAGGAAGCGGAGGAAAGACCGUGGUGAAAAAGGACCCGCGAGAAGAGAGGUGGGAGGAAAGUGCAAAACCAGCAAAUCCUUCUCCCAGACUACGUCAUCAGUUUUAAUAUUGCAGAAUAGAAGCUGCCGCCGCGACGCCGCUCCGAGAGUGACUCUCUUAAUAAUGAGAUGAUAUUAUCACGAGAAGCUGUUUCGACAUCGGCAGCAGUACCGAGAUGGGAAACGUCGGUUUGACAUCUCGUUAUACGUGCACACCCGUUAUCUCGGCGCGUUCGAAAAUGCUCGAGAGAGAGAGAGAGAGAGAGAGAGAAUUUGAUAGAAGGAAUUUUAUAACUACGGUGAAAUAGCACGUCCGGUCUGUAAGGCUUUGCAAAAGGAGGUUCAGCAGUUCCAAAGAGGCAAUAAUUGGAAGAAAAUUACGGUUCACUUGUGCUUAAAUCGUGCUGAGGCAUCGUCACGACAUGUCGCAAUCAUAGUGAGCGGGGAAAAGGAAGUUGAUGACUGUUAUUGACAGGGGUUGACGAUAAUCUCGUGAAUUUACCGGAAAUAGAACGGCGAUCAAGCCAGUCUACAGGGAUCUAGCAUGAAUAGAUAAAUCAAACACUAGCACCCAUGGUGGCCAUGCGGCAUGCAAUGUACACGGUUUGUUGUGUCAUGGAAAAAUCGAUAUGCCUACUUCAGCGUCUUCUGACAAAUGACUGCAUGCGAAUACGAUCGAAACACGGCUGUCAAAGAAAAGUUUACAGGACGUAUAUUAUCUCAGAUAAAAUACCGAAGUGCUAUAUUUACGAACAUUCGGUGGCUAAGAAAAUAUACGAAGUCUGAUGUCGAUACUUCGUUUCAAACCGCUUCAAAUUAAGGACGAAAGUUUGGUGAUCAUAAUCAAUAUCGGAGUAUUGUUGUAGAAUUAAAUAUUUAACGCUGCCAAGAUUACAGAAAAAAGCGGUCCGGUGAAUUUGCGGGGAAUAUUUUCCUGACUUAAACGAGCCAUCGUAUAUUGAAAUCGAUUGUUAAUAAUUUUUAAGCGAUUUCAAACGAAGCAUCGAUAUCUGAGUUUCCGUUCAGAAUUACAGUAUUUUUUGAGUUUUCACCAUCAGAAAGAUAUUCGUAGAUUAUGAACACAUUCCAUUAACUUAACGAACUUAACGAAUAGUAUCGAUAUUCGUCUCUGUGUCAGAUGAUUGGACAAUUUUUCAUAUAUUUUGUCAAAUCCUAGGAUAUUUCAUUCGGCAAGGAAGGUUAAAACGUAGCCGGUUAAUAAAUAGUUACCGAGGUCUUGUCUCUCAAAUGCCCAUAUUUUUCAACGUAAAAGUUACAUAAUUAAUCAGUUAUUCAAUAAUUCGAUAAAUAUAUAGAAUGUCAAAAAAGCAGGGAGAGAAAAAAAAACACACACACACAGA